Molecule: ribosomal RNA, 253 nt
Filed under: uncultured prokaryote
Description: partial 16S ribosomal RNA
Rfam family: Bacterial small subunit ribosomal RNA
Source: RNAcentral
UACGUAGGGACCAAGCGUUGUUCGGAUUUACUGGGCGUAAAGGGCGCGUAGGCGGCCCUACAAGUCACUUGUGAAAUCUCCGGGCUUAACUCGGAAUGGCCAAGUGAAACUGUAAGGCUAGAGUGCAGAAGGGGCAAUCGGAAUUCUUGGUGUAGCGGUGAAAUGCGUAGAUAUCAAGAGGAACACCUGAGGUGAAGACGGGUUGCUGGGCUGACACUGACGCUGAUGCGCGAAAGCCAGGGGAGCGAACGGG